This 503-nucleotide ribosomal RNA is filed under the name uncultured bacterium. RNAcentral's name for it is "partial 16S ribosomal RNA". It matches the Rfam family "Bacterial small subunit ribosomal RNA", at positions 29 to 523 of the family's 1533-position model. The record is from RNAcentral.
AACGAACGCUGGCGGCACGUUUUAAGCAUGCAAGUCGAACGGCAGUGGGGGCAACCCCAUGAGAGUGGCGAACGGGUGAGUAACACGUAGGUGAUCUGCCUUUGGGUUGGGGAUAGCUUGUGGAAACACAGGGUAAUACCGAAUGAGCUGACGAGGCUUUGGCCAUGUUAGUAAAGGUGCUACGGCACCGCCUAGAGAGGAGCCUGCGGCUGAUUAGCUAGUUGGGGGGGUAAAGGCCUACCAAGGCGGCGAUCAGUAGCCGGCCUGAGAGGGUGUACGGCCACACUGGAACUGAGGCACGGUCCAGACUCCUACGGGAGGCAGCAGCUAAGAAUCUUCCGCAAUGGGCGAAAGCCUGACGGAGCGAUGCCGCGUGAUCGAUGAAGGUCGAGAGAUUGUAAAGAUCUUUUCCAACUGAGGAAUAAGUGGACCAGGGAAUGGGUUCAUGAUGACGUUAAGUUGGGAAUAAGCCCCGGCUAAUUACGUGCCAGCCGCCGCGGUAA